This 98-nucleotide signal recognition particle RNA is filed under the name Alphaproteobacteria bacterium. RNAcentral's name for it is "signal recognition particle sRNA small type". It matches the Rfam family "Bacterial small signal recognition particle RNA". From Rfam's summary of the family: The signal recognition particle (SRP) is a universally conserved ribonucleoprotein involved in the co-translational targeting of proteins to membranes. The record is from RNAcentral. Lineage: Bacteria; Pseudomonadati; Pseudomonadota; Alphaproteobacteria.
UGCGGGAGUCGGGCGGACGCGGUACUCGCCAACUUGGUCAGGUCCUGACGGAAGCAGCCACAACGAAUUCGCCGCGGGUCGUUCCGGCUCCUACUCCC